Amblyraja radiata (thorny skate) is the source of this 115-nucleotide long non-coding RNA. RefSeq lists it as uncharacterized. NCBI's taxonomy places the organism in Eukaryota, Metazoa, Chordata, Chondrichthyes, Rajiformes, Rajidae. The transcript is spliced from 3 exons. The record is from RefSeq and is a predicted model, not a curated record.
GCUGUUGAAUUGCUACUGGAGUUAGCGACACUAGUUCUCCCUUCUCCACUGGUCCAUGCAGAAAUCUCAACAGUGACAAUCUAAUGAAUCACGGCCUCUGAAGAAGGGUCUCGAC